Molecule: long non-coding RNA, 321 nt
Filed under: Helianthus annuus (common sunflower)
Lineage: Eukaryota; Viridiplantae; Streptophyta; Magnoliopsida; Asterales; Asteraceae
Description: sRNA HanXRQr2_Chr16g0760181
Source: RNAcentral
UUCUCGGAAUCAUAUUUUCCCAACAGUUCUCAAGAAACCCAAGCGUUUUGAUUGUCCCCAAUUCAAGCCAAUCUAAUUGAUAAUCAUUGAAAUUGAUGGCACUAUCAUUCUCGGUAGCUAAAUGUGAUGGAAGAUGUUCUUAAACAACACAGUAAUCAACAACUUGAUUUGGAUUCCCCGUAGAGCAGAGGAAGCUGUGCUUCAGGAGGAGGAGUGCUGGAUUGACUUAACUCAAAUACAAGGAAGAUGAGCAAGAAGAACCCACUUGUAUACUUGGACGUGUCUAUAGAUGGAGAUCCUAUUGAAAGAAUGGUUUUUGAG